This 326-nucleotide ribosomal RNA is filed under the name uncultured eukaryote. Its description in RNAcentral is "LSU rRNA". It matches the Rfam family "Bacterial large subunit ribosomal RNA", at positions 2153 to 2478 of the family's 2925-position model. The record is from RNAcentral.
GGCGUUGAAAAUUUUCUUGCGGGAAGAUUGGAGCCGUUGGUGAGAUACCACUCUAACAAUGCUAGGAUUCUAACCCUAUACCGUUAUCCGGUUAGGGGACAGUUUCAGGUGGUCAGUUUGACUGGGGCGGUCGCCUCCUAAAAGGUAACGGAGGCGUGCAAAGGUUUCCUCAGACUGGUCGGAAAUCAGUCGUAGAGUGUAAAGGCAUAAGGAAGCUUGAUUGUGAGACCUACAAGUCGAACAAAGACGAAAGUCGGCCUUAGUGAUCCGACGGUUCCGAGUGGAAGGGCCGUCGCUCAACGGAUAAAAGUUACUCUAGGGAUAAC